CUACGGAGGGUGCAAGCGUUAAUCGGAAUUACUGGGCGUAAAGCGUGCGUAGGUGGUUUGUUAAGUCAGAUGUGAAAGCCCCGGGCUCAACCUGGGAACUGCAUUUGAAACUGGCAUACUAGAGUAUAGGAGAGGAAAGUGGAAUUUCAGGUAUAGCGGUGAAAUGCGUAGAUAUCUGAAGGAACAUCAAUGGCGAAGGCAGCUUUCUGGACUAAUACUGACACUGAGGUACGAAAGCGUGGGUAGCAAACAGGAUUAGAAACCCUGGUAGUCC
Molecule: ribosomal RNA, 274 nt
Filed under: uncultured bacterium
Lineage: Bacteria
Description: partial 16S ribosomal RNA
Rfam family: Bacterial small subunit ribosomal RNA
Source: RNAcentral